Sander lucioperca (pikeperch) is the source of this 147-nucleotide long non-coding RNA. RefSeq lists it as uncharacterized. The record is from RefSeq and is a predicted model, not a curated record. Lineage: Eukaryota; Metazoa; Chordata; Actinopteri; Perciformes; Percidae. The transcript has 3 exons.
AUGUGAAUGCUUCAUAGAUUUCAAUGAUAAUCUGAGUUACGUUUGAUUGUUUGAUGAUUUCCAACCAUAUGGUUUUUCAUACUCUUUGAGAGAGGGGAUCAUAGUUUUGAUAAUUGAGAUAGAUGGGACUUAGGGAACACACCGUUU